RNAcentral lists this small nucleolar RNA (142 nucleotides) under Triticum aestivum (bread wheat). RNAcentral describes it as "Small nucleolar RNA Z247". It matches the Rfam family "Small nucleolar RNA Z247". From Rfam's summary of the family: Z247 is a member of the C/D class of snoRNA which contain the C (UGAUGA) and D (CUGA) box motifs. Most of the members of the box C/D family function in directing site-specific 2'-O-methylation of substrate RNAs. The record is from Rfam by way of RNAcentral. Lineage: Eukaryota; Viridiplantae; Streptophyta; Magnoliopsida; Poales; Poaceae.
CCUCUUGAUGAAGAUGAAGUCAUCUCGCACAUCUUGGACGGCCUUGAUGACGACUACAACCCCUUCAUCUCCGCCAUCUCCAUGCGUGUAGACCAAGGGAUCGGCCUCAACGAGCUCUUAUCUCUGCUGCUUACAGUGGAGA